Molecule: ribosomal RNA, 220 nt
Filed under: uncultured bacterium
Lineage: Bacteria
Description: partial 16S ribosomal RNA
Rfam family: Bacterial small subunit ribosomal RNA
Source: RNAcentral
CGGCGGACGGCUGAGUAACGCGUAGGAACGUACCCCAAAGUGAGGGAUAAGCACCAGAAAUGGUGUCUAAUACCGCAUGUGCUCUAAGGAGUAAAGCUUCGGCGCUUUGGGAACGGCCUGCGUCUGAUUAGCUUGUUGGUGAGGUAAAAGCUCACCAAGGCGACGAUCAGUAGCUGGUCUGAGAGGAUGACCAGCCAGACUGGGACUGAGAACGGCCCAG